Molecule: ribosomal RNA, 185 nt
Filed under: Pseudomonas sp.
Lineage: Bacteria; Pseudomonadati; Pseudomonadota; Gammaproteobacteria; Pseudomonadales; Pseudomonadaceae
Description: partial 16S ribosomal RNA
Rfam family: Bacterial small subunit ribosomal RNA
Source: RNAcentral
GAACUGAAGAGUUUGAUCAUGGCUCAGAUUGAACGCUGGCGGCAGGCCUAACACAUGCAAGUCGAGCGGAUGAGUGGAGCUUGCUCCAUGAUUCAGCGGCGGACGGGUGAGUAAUGCCUAGGAAUCUGCCUGGUAGUGGGGGACAACGUUUCGAAAGGAACGCUAAUACCGCAUACGUCCUACGG